Molecule: unclassified non-coding RNA, 143 nt
Filed under: Colacogloea falcata
Lineage: Eukaryota; Fungi; Basidiomycota; Microbotryomycetes; Colacogloeaceae
Description: ITS 1
Source: RNAcentral
AUGAAUUUUAGGUUGUCCUCUUCAUCAGAGGGAACCGACCCUUCAUUUCCAACCCUGUGCACUAUAUCUGGGAACUUGCGCAAGCGAGAACCCGUCCAUUUAACAUACUCUAAGUAAUUGAAUGUAACAAAUACAAAACAAAA